This 433-nucleotide ribosomal RNA is filed under the name uncultured bacterium. RNAcentral describes it as "partial 16S ribosomal RNA". It matches the Rfam family "Bacterial small subunit ribosomal RNA", at positions 29 to 507 of the family's 1533-position model. The record is from RNAcentral.
AGCGAACGCUGGCGGCAGGCCUAACACAUGCAAGUCGAGCGAACUCUUCGGAGUUAGUGGCGGACGUGUGAGUAACACGUGGGAACGUGCCUUUUGGUUCGGAAUAACUCAGGGAAACUUGUGCUAAUACCGAAUGUGCCCUUCGGGGGAAAGAUUUAUCGCCAUUAGAGCGGCCCGCGUCUGAUUAGCUAGUUGGUGAGGUAACGGCUCACCAAGGCGACGAUCAGUAGCUGGUCUGAGAGGAUGACCAGCCACACUGGGACUGAGACACGGCCCAGACUCCUACGGGAGGCAGCAGUGGGGAAUCUUGCGCAAUGGGCGAAAGCCUGACGCAGCCAUGCCGCGUGAAUGAUGAAGGUCUUAGGAUUGUAAAAUUCUUUCACCGGGGACGAUAAUGACGGUACCCGGAGAAGAAGCCCCGGCUAACUUCGUG